GGGAGAAUAGUUUAAUGGUAAAACGUUUGACUUUUAAUCAAAUUAUGUUUGGUUCAAAUCCAACUUUUCCUA
This is a transfer RNA of Pachysolen tannophilus NRRL Y-2460, 72 nucleotides long. It matches the Rfam family "tRNA". Rfam says of the family: Transfer RNA (tRNA) molecules are approximately 80 nucleotides in length. Lineage: Eukaryota; Fungi; Ascomycota; Pichiomycetes; Alaninales; Pachysolenaceae. The record is from Rfam.